This 468-nucleotide ribosomal RNA is filed under the name uncultured bacterium. RNAcentral describes it as "partial 16S ribosomal RNA". It matches the Rfam family "Bacterial small subunit ribosomal RNA", at positions 36 to 507 of the family's 1533-position model. The record is from RNAcentral.
GCCUCCCUCUUUCUUCGUGCUUAACACAUGCAAGUCGAACGGAAAGGUCCUGCUUUUGUGGGGUGCUCGAGUGGCGAACGGGUGAGUAACACGUGAGUAACCUGCCCUUGACUUUGGGAUAACUUCAGGAAACUGGGGCUAAUACCGGAUAGGAGCUCCUGCUGCAUGGUGGGGGUUGGAAAGUUUCGGCGGUUGGGGAUGGACUCGCGGCUUAUCAGCUUGUUGGUGGGGUAGUGGCUUACCAAGGCUUUGACGGGUAGCCGGCCUGAGAGGGUGACCGGCCACAUUGGGACUGAGAUACGGCCCAGACUCCUACGGGAGGCAGCAGUGGGGAAUAUUGCACAAUGGGCGGAAGCCUGAUGCAGCAACGCCGCGUGCGGGAUGACGGCCUUCGGGUUGUAAACCGCUUUCGCCUGUGACGAAGCGUGAGUGACGGUAAUGGGUAAAGAAGCACCGGCUAACUACGUG